This 329-nucleotide unclassified non-coding RNA is filed under the name soil metagenome. Its description in RNAcentral is "partial contains 5.8S ribosomal RNA, internal transcribed spacer 2, and large subunit ribosomal RNA". The stretch from base 1 to 120 matches the Rfam family "5.8S ribosomal RNA", at positions 35 to 154 of the family's 154-position model. The record is from RNAcentral.
GAUGAAGAACGUAGCGAAAUGCGAUAAGUAAUGUGAAUUGCAGAAUUCAGUGAAUCAUCGAAUCUUUGAACGCACAUUGCGCCCCUUGGUAUUCCGAGGGGCAUGCCUGUUCGAGCGUCAUUAUAACCCCUCAAGCUCAGCUUGGUGUUGGGGCCUGCUGCACUGGCAGCCCUUAAAAUCAGUGGCGGCGCCAUCUGGCUCUAAGCGUAGUAAUUCUUCUCGCUAUGGAGUCCAGGUGGAUGCUUGCCAUCAACCCCCAAUUUUUCUAUGGUUGACCUCGGAUCAGGUAGGGAUACCCGCUGAACUUAAGCAUAUCAAUAAGCGGAGGA